Molecule: ribosomal RNA, 486 nt
Filed under: uncultured bacterium
Lineage: Bacteria
Description: partial 16S ribosomal RNA
Rfam family: Bacterial small subunit ribosomal RNA
Source: RNAcentral
GAUGAACGCUGGCGGCGUGCCUAAUACAUGCAAGUCGAACGCUGGAAAUCUAGCUUGCUAGAUUGAAGGAGUGGCGAACGGGUGAGUAAUACAUAAGCAACCUACCCACGAAGACUGGGAUAAUCUCUGGAAACGGGGACUAAUACCGGAUAGGUAAUCGGAAGGCAUCUUCUGAUUCUUAAAGGUUAAAAACACUGGUGGAUGGGCUUAUGGCGCAUUAGUUAGUUGGUGAGGUAACGGCCCACCAAGACGAUGAUGCGUAGCCGGCCUGAGAGGGUGAACGGCCACAUUGGGACUGAGACACGGCCCAGACUCCUACGGGAGGCAGCAGUAGGGAAAUUUCGGCAAUGGGGGAAACCCUGACCGAGCAACGACGCGUGAGUGAUGACGGCCUUCGGGUUGUAAAGCUCUGUUGUAAGGGAAGAACGGUAGAUAGAGAAUAUCUAAAUGACGGUACCUGACCAGAAAGCCACGGCUAACUACGUG